Molecule: transfer RNA, 65 nt
Filed under: Histeridae sp. BMNH 1274743
Lineage: Eukaryota; Metazoa; Arthropoda; Insecta; Coleoptera; Histeridae
Description: tRNA-Thr
Source: RNAcentral
GUUUUAAUAAUUUAAACAAAAAUAUUGGUCUUGUAAGCCGAAAUUAAGAUAUUUCUUUUAAAGCU